GUCGGCCGCAGCGUUGGUGUGGCGCUACUUGCCAUCGAUUGUUUACUUGUCUGUCCUAGAGUGCCCUUUGGAAACCCUUUUUAAAAGACAAAUUACACUGACGCUUCGAGAAAGAAAUUAGAGAUGGAGGAGGGUAUACUCUCACUGCGUUGGAAUAAUCAUCGAUCAACAUUUUUCCAUAUUUUAUCUACACUUCAUAGGAAGGAACUUUACAGUGAUGUAACGUUAGCAUGCAAUGGUAAAUUUUUCCCAGUGCAUAAGUUGGUGCUUUCAGUGUGUAGUGAAUAUUUUGAAGAAAUGUUUAAGCAGACCACAUGUAAACAUCCCAUAAUAGUACUUAAGGAUAUUCUUCACGAUGACCUUGAAGCGCUUCUCAAUUACAUGUAUGCGGGUGAGGCAAAUGUAGCGCAAAAUGACCUCGCCAGAUUAAUUAAAGCUGCUGAGUGUCUAAGAAUCAAAGGUCUAGCCGUCCCGGAUGAAGCCCCCCCUUCCAGUGAGAGUAAAAGAUCCCAUACUGAGGGGCUGAGAGAGGAAGCGCCUCACCCCAAGCGGCGGAAACAUGAUGACAGCUCAUCGGCCUCCUCCAAGUCGAGCCAAGGGCGGCAGUCGGAGGAUGAACCCAAAGAUAAAAAUUGCAAGGAAUUGUCCAGCUGUAUGGAACAACAGCAACAGCAGAGUGGAAGAUAUAGUGGGCAGAGUACGGGAUUACAGCAAAUAACGAGUCCUGAACUACAACUUGAAUUAGAAAUGGGGAGAUCAAGUCAAGACGACAACAGUGCUACUCAAGAUCUAGCUGAGGUUGUCCUGGAUGAACAGCCGCUGAUCAAAGAGGAGAUCCAGGAACCCAAGCACGAACACGAUGACGACAUAACACACCAAACGGACUCGGAGGCAAGCAUCAGUUUUGACCCCCUCAAUUCUGGGGAUGAAAGAGGAGGGGGUACAGGCAUAUAUGACCCACAGCUGAUGGUCUCACACCCACAGAGUGUCCUACAAGAUAUCAUGGUGCAAGGGGUCCCGGGCCCUUCUGGACUGCCCACGGACUCCAUCACCAGCUGGGAUUCAGGUGGAAACGUAGGCUUUUCACUAGAAGGAUUCACAGGCGAGGAUGCGAGGACGACCCAGGCCAUGGAGUCAUUGGGGGUCGCAGCUGCAGCUGUGGCAGCGACCGCGCUGUUGUGCCCUUAUUGUCGCCGGGCCUUCAUGUACCGCAGUGAUUUAAGCCGGCAUGUGAGAACACAUACGGGUGAGAAGCCUUUCACCUGCCCUCACUGCUUGUAUAAGGCAUCCCAGAAGUCGCACCUCCAAGAACAUAUCAAGAGGCGGCACUAUGAGUUAUAAAUUGAUAAGUGUGCACAGUGGAGCUGGAAAGAGACCAUAGAGGAGUCUCUCUCCUAGAUUCUUGGGACAUAUAUUUUAUGAUAUUAUGAAAGCCAGAUACUUAGAUGUUCGUUUGAAUGCCAAACAUGCUAAUAUGCUUAGCAUGGGGAUUGUUGUCCCUUGGAAGUGAAUUUCUUGUGUAAAUGUUAUGAAAGACAUUGAAUUUUUAAAGUGAGAUUAUGAAAAAAACAACAAUAAAAAGUGCUACAAAGAAAAUAUAGGAAAUGAACAGCCAUGGUGCAGGAAGGAAAACCGACAAAGAAAAGAAAAAUUGUACCAGGGACAUGAAAUGCGUAUAUACAAUAUAUACUUGUGUGAAAUAAAAAUACCAAGACUAUUAUAUCGUACAUUCCAUUAUGUUUGUGAUGAAUCUUAGUCAUUAGGCAAUAAUUUGUACAGUGAAAGUACAAAAAGGAGUUAUAUAUGUAAUACAGAUGAUAUAGCAUACUGUAUUUUAAUUAUAAAGUGUGAGUGGUUAUGUAUUAAGCACUGGUAAAAUUUAUGUACAGUGUAAGUACAAAAAGAGAUAAGAUUUUAUGUAUAUCUCUUUUACAAUGUGUUGUGUGGAGAUUUUAACA
RNAcentral lists this unclassified non-coding RNA (1958 nucleotides) under Penaeus chinensis. Its description in RNAcentral is "longitudinals lacking protein-like, transcript variant X3". The record is from RNAcentral. Lineage: Eukaryota; Metazoa; Arthropoda; Malacostraca; Decapoda; Penaeidae.